Molecule: ribosomal RNA, 315 nt
Filed under: uncultured bacterium
Lineage: Bacteria
Description: bacterial SSU rRNA
Rfam family: Bacterial small subunit ribosomal RNA
Source: RNAcentral
GAUGAACGCUAGCGACAGGCUUAACACAUGCAAGUCGAGGGGCAGCGGGGAGGUAGCAAUACUUCCGCCGGCGACCGGCGCACGGGUGAGUAACACGUAUGGAACCUGCCCGUAGCAGGGGGAUAAGCGGAAGAAAUUCCGUCUAAUACCGCGUAAUAACUCCGAGAGGCAUCUCCUGGGGUUUAAAGGGUAACACCGGCUACGGAUGGCCAUGCGGCGCAUUAGCUAGUUGGCGGGGUAACGGCCCACCAAGGCGACGAUGCGUAGGGGUUCUGAGAGGAAGGUCCCCCACAUUGGAACUGAGACACGGUCCAA